Molecule: long non-coding RNA, 717 nt
Filed under: Anser brachyrhynchus (Pink-footed goose)
Lineage: Eukaryota; Metazoa; Chordata; Aves; Anseriformes; Anatidae
Description: lncRNA (ENSABRG00000009260.1)
Source: RNAcentral
CUGCUUGGUUGCCUGUACACAGCCUAGAGCCAGUGUCUUCUCAUUCAUUAUUUACACCCUGAAAUAAGGGCCUGGUCCAACUCCCAGUGAAGCCAUUCCCGUUGAAUUUCGCUGAGUGAGUCACUGAGAGUCCCAAUCUCUCUGCCUGCCAUUUGGGAAUAACCACUUUUCUUGAGCCUGGAAACCCCAUGCCAAAAUCUUCGUAUGAUGUAUGGCAUCUUCCCCCUGUGUAGCUACGAGCUAAGCACAGCUUCUUCUCCCAGCUCUCCCAUGGCCUGGGCCCAGCCCUUUCUGCAGGUCCAGCUGUCUCUCAGAUGAUGCUUCAACCAUGCCGGAGAGCCCCUGACUUGGAGGUGACUUCAGUCUCACCCGCCAUCCACUGCAGGACUGGUCUACUCCAAAGAGGCCUGGAGCUGGCCCAGGAUGAUAUGAAGAUCUGUCAGCAGAUGCAUCCCUUGGGAACAGGACAGACAACACAAGACUGCUGCGGGUUACAGACUUCUCAAAUCAUGUUAGAAAACAGCAGAGAAAGAAAGAGCAGGAGUCAAAUCAGCAUGAAGAGCAUGGCAGGACACUCCGUCUCCAGCUUGGCCAUCCAACUGCACAAACUCUUCUGUAUGUGAAGACAUAACAUGCAAUGGCAAAAAGAGACAAAUCAGAUAAAGGAAACCACCGCAAAUAAUACGAUGGAGAAAUAAAAGGUACUCAGCCCCUCCA